This 358-nucleotide long non-coding RNA is filed under the name Fukomys damarensis (Damara mole-rat). RNAcentral describes it as "lncRNA (ENSFDAG00000029469.1)". The record is from RNAcentral. Lineage: Eukaryota; Metazoa; Chordata; Mammalia; Rodentia; Bathyergidae.
UCCUUUCUCUCAACACACAGCAUGAAAAGGCAUUUUGCAGAGUGGAAAGAGCUUUAGCAUUAAUCAUCAUGAAGCGGUGCAAGCUGGCCGUGUGUGUGUGUGUGUGUGUGUGUGUGUGUGUGUGUGUGGGGUGGGGGUGGGGAAUUGGUAUCGAUACCAAGCUGGUCACGUGGCACGGACAAUGUGGGAACAGUAAGAGUGAGACGGCCCUUUCCUCUGAAAUGCCACCCUCAUUCCCUUGGAAGCAGCAAAGAAUUAGACUUUGGGGAAAUGAUAAGAGCCUCUUACCCCCACUGAGAAAGAGUGAAGGACAGAGACCCCGCUUAAGCCAUCAUAUUGCCCUAGGCCGGGGCAGGGA